RNAcentral lists this ribosomal RNA (1466 nucleotides) under Streptococcus thermophilus. Its description in RNAcentral is "bacterial SSU rRNA". It matches the Rfam family "Bacterial small subunit ribosomal RNA". Lineage: Bacteria; Bacillati; Bacillota; Bacilli; Lactobacillales; Streptococcaceae. The record is from RNAcentral.
GAACGCUGGCGGCGUGCCUAAUACAUGCAAGUAGAACGCUGAAGAGAGGAGCUUGCUCUUCUUGGAUGAGUUGCGAACGGGUGAGUAACGCGUAGGUAACCUGCCUUGUAGCGGGGGAUAACUAUUGGAAACGAUAGCUAAUACCGCAUAACAAUGGAUGACACAUGUCAUUUAUUUGAAAGGGGCAAUUGCUCCACUACAAGAUGGACCUGCGUUGUAUUAGCUAGUAGGUGAGGUAAUGGCUCACCUAGGCGACGAUACAUAGCCGACCUGAGAGGGUGAUCGGCCACACUGGGACUGAGACACGGCCCAGACUCCUACGGGAGGCAGCAGUAGGGAAUCUUCGGCAAUGGGGGCAACCCUGACCGAGCAACGCCGCGUGAGUGAAGAAGGUUUUCGGAUCGUAAAGCUCUGUUGUAAGUCAAGAACGGGUGUGAGAGUGGAAAGUUCACACUGUGACGGUAGCUUACCAGAAAGGGACGGCUAACUACGUGCCAGCAGCCGCGGUAAUACGUAGGUCCCGAGCGUUGUCCGGAUUUAUUGGGCGUAAAGCGAGCGCAGGCGGUUUGAUAAGUCUGAAGUUAAAGGCUGUGGCUCAACCAUAGUUCGCUUUGGAAACUGUCAAACUUGAGUGCAGAAGGGGAGAGUGGAAUUCCAUGUGUAGCGGUGAAAUGCGUAGAUAUAUGGAGGAACACCGGUGGCGAAAGCGGCUCUCUGGUCUGUAACUGACGCUGAGGCUCGAAAGCGUGGGGAGCGAACAGGAUUAGAUACCCUGGUAGUCCACGCCGUAAACGAUGAGUGCUAGGUGUUGGAUCCUUUCCGGGAUUCAGUGCCGCAGCUAACGCAUUAAGCACUCCGCCUGGGGAGUACGACCGCAAGGUUGAAACUCAAAGGAAUUGACGGGGGCCCGCACAAGCGGUGGAGCAUGUGGUUUAAUUCGAAGCAACGCGAAGAACCUUACCAGGUCUUGACAUCCCGAUGCUAUUUCUAGAGAUAGAAAGUUACUUCGGUACAUCGGUGACAGGUGGUGCAUGGUUGUCGUCAGCUCGUGUCGUGAGAUGUUGGGUUAAGUCCCGCAACGAGCGCAACCCCUAUUGUUAGUUGCCAUCAUUCAGUUGGGCACUCUAGCGAGACUGCCGGUAAUAAACCGGAGGAAGGUGGGGAUGACGUCAAAUCAUCAUGCCCCUUAUGACCUGGGCUACACACGUGCUACAAUGGUUGGUACAACGAGUUGCGAGUCGGUGACGGCGAGCUAAUCUCUUAAAGCCAAUCUCAGUUCGGAUUGUAGGCUGCAACUCGCCUACAUGAAGUCGGAAUCGCUAGUAAUCGCGGAUCAGCACGCCGCGGUGAAUACGUUCCCGGGCCUUGUACACACCGCCCGUCACACCACGAGAGUUUGUAACACCCGAAGUCGGUGAGGUAACCUUUUGGAGCCAGCCGCCUAAGGUGGGACAGAUGAUUGGGGU